UAGGGCCUGGAAAAAUUAGCAUCUAUUUAUUACAUAAUUAGCAUUUAUGAUGUUGAAAAUUAGCAUCUAUUUUCCAGAAAUUAGCAUCUAUUUUUGAGAAAUUUGCAUAAGAUAUUAAAGUUACAUAACAAUACAAGAAGUUGUAAUAGUGUUUAUACCCAUUAUGACGAAUUUUAACACAAACCAAAAUCAUUAAACGGUAUUUGUAAACAAACGUUUGACCACUAGUAAUUUCAGAUGGAAACAAACUGACGAUUCGAGUUGACCAACUUCAGUACGCUAAAUGUGCACCACAAAAUGUAUGAUUUGUCCCUAUGUAAAAUAUUGAUCAGAAAAAAAAUUUGAAGACUAAAGUGAUUAUCAACGAAUGUAAAAAACCGCGUACUAAAAUAUUUGUAGUAGUUUUCAGCAUUUAAAAUAUUUUCAUUUUUAUCUUUGCAAGUUCACUACGAUCCCGUCAACGACCUAGAUAUUUUCUAGGUUGUUGGUUUCCGUGAUGCGCUUCCCGGGAAAUUUUGUUUUGUUAGGUUAGAUACUCUUCAUGAACAGGCAACACACGAUGCAAUGGCGAACGUAGGCGAACGUGAUGUGAUCUAACAAAACAAAAUAACUGCGUCGAUAAGUAGUGUGAACAUUCUUUUCUAAACAACAUUCAACGGUAUCUUGAGUAAAUCGUAAAGAAUAAAUUUACAAAAUUACUUAUUCUAUACUAUCAUGCGUGAUAUUUGGUUAAGGAAUGUUUUAUAAAUAAAGGUUAGGAUUCGGAUUUUAUUCCUUCAACAAGCCUUGUCAGAAGCUAUUGUUUACGGUAAUUGUGUUAUGGUGGCUAUUUUCAAAAAAAAUACUUUGAGGAAUGUGUGUUCAAGCCAUUUUGUUGCAUUCUAUAGUGGUUUUUCGCCCGAUAAUGGCAAUUUUACCGCGAUUUCGCAAAUAUAGCAUUUAUAACAACAAUUAGUAAAAAAUCGCAUCUAACCUCAAAAUUCGCAAAAAAAUCGCAUCUAUCGCAAAUUGCGAAUUUUUCCGGCCCCUAAGAAUAAGUCAUAUAAAUGGCAAUCUGGAGACAAAGUCCAUAACAGAAACUGUAGAGCAAUAAAGUAAUACAUAGUAUUUAACAGAAACUAUAUAGCAGAAAAAUAAUAUUCAUGGCAACAUGAUACACACCAGAUGGUCAACACAUUUCAUUUGGUAAGUAUAUGUAUAAUUUGAUAAGCUCAAUAGUUUUGGUAGGCCUAUCUUAUUUAAAUGUAUACUGUGCUUCAUGUAUUCACAGCUUUCAAUAUAUUUUUUUUGUUUUAUAUUUGUCAAACAUUCAGUUACAUAAAAAAUUGGAAAUAUUGUAUACCUACAUUACAAAGAGUGUUUGGUGAUUUCAUGCAAUGGCAAAAUUAGCACCUAAUUACACACAUUAAUUAAAAAAAAAAAAACUACUACUGCUUAUAAACACAAGUGGUAACAAUAGUUAACAGCACUUAGCUCUUAAUGUUUCUCAGGUAGAUGUAUAGAAUAUAAAUGUGUGGUGAUUGUAGUAGUGACUGCAUUUUGCGAUACUGUAUGCUGCAACACUAAGUGAGAUUAAUGGCAGAACAGUAAAUAUUUUUUGUGUAAACUUAAGACAAGCAGCCAGAAAAGUAGGUGGUUUAUUUUUAUGAUUUUAUAAAAUGUUUUAGUAAUUAAGUAGUAGUGUUUUGUGUUCAUUGUAAUUUUACAGUUUAUCAGAUUUUUUGCAAACAAGAAAAUAAAAAUUACAAAAUACCUUUUGCUUCCUGAAAUGCUUUGGAAUCAUUUUGUAAGACAGCACUGUGUUACAUCAAGCAGUCUACCAAUAGUUUUAUAGUUUUAACAUUCAUGAUUGCGAUAUCGCAAGUGCCGCCAUGUGCGAGUCCCUGCUGUGCUUGCAAAAAGCUUGCUUCAAUAAAAACAAGGGCCUCAUAAUCAGAUUUUGUCACAUAUGGAGUUAUGUGUUUCUUGCUGCAAGUAUUGCUCUCUUGGGUAAUGACUGAAAAACAUAUCAGGAAGUAAAAAAAAAAAGUUAUAAUUUUUACUCUUCUUACUUUUGUUGAUUAAAACAAACUUAAUAAAAUCUUGUGCAGUUUUAAAAACGAUAAACAACUUAAAGUACCUCAACAUUCUCUUGGGAAAUAUUUCGAUACAUGUCAGGAUGUGAGAAAAAGUUUUUCGGAAUUUUUUCUUUAUUCAUUUAAAAGCCGCAAAACAAUACAAUUACUCUGUGCAUUUUAUUUGCUGUUAGGAGAGAGGUGGGUAAUAAUCUUACGUUGUGGCUUUUCCACAAACUAAAAAAAAAUUAGACAAGAACUUUUUUUGACACUAGUCAUAUCCCUGAAUUUAUCCUGAAAACAGACUUUAAAUUUCUACAGGUUAGCAAGUAAUCAAGGUUUAAAGCUUACAUUAUAAUACCUGUGCAUUCACACAUACCUGUAUGUUCUUAAAGUACAAACACUGGGAAAAAACUUUUGGACGGAGGACAUUCAUAUGCUUCUGUUACAUCAGAUAUAUAUCUUGAGAAAUAAUAAUGAAAUGUAAUAUAUCUUCAGUAUGGUGUUCUAUUAUACUAGUACAGGUAGGGCUUGUUCUUAAGUAUAGAAUAUGAUACCACAGGUAAAAUAUAUACUGUAGUAGGUAUGUUCUAAAUCUAGAAUAAGCAUGGCCAUAGCAUAAAAUACGUUACCAGAAAGCUAGUUUAAUACACAAACAUAUUUUGUGCAAAACAAGCAUUAGAAUACUCCCAAACUAAAACCCCCAUAUAAUCAUGCUAGUCACAUAAUAAUGCAGAAAUGGUAAUGACAUAAAUGUGCCAUGUUAAUGUCAUCAUUAAUGUGAUAAUGAUAUUGUGAUACAUACUUGUCCCAAAAGUGAAAUUGGUAAAAGUUCCGUAUAACAUAUUCAAAUUCAUCCCUUGAUCCAGAAGGCAUGAUCUUGUAUACAUUGUUCCUGUGGUACAUUUUGCUUGAUGUUUUGAUUUGGUACAUUGAAAGAACAUGGGCAUACUAACUUGUGUUAUUACAAUUUAUAUAUGAAUGUAAAACAGUUACAAAAUAAAUUAUUUCACAACACCUGAGAUAAUUUGUUUGUCUUGUGAUGGUCUAGUAUUUGUUAUGUCCAUACUCUUUCGACGUAACAAAUUAAAACAGCAAGCAUCUUGUACCACAAAACCAAGGGAUCAAUUUGGACACGUGAUACGAAAAAAAUUACGUCAACCUACUGAACUUUAACUAACUUUCAGAUUUGCGUGUAAAUUAAGAGAUAUGUAUCAUCAUUUAGUUCAUAUUUUCUCUCUACAGGUUUUAAAGUCUAGCCUAGGUUGACGUAAUUUUUUUCGUAUCACGUGUGCAAAUUGAUCCCUUGGUUUUGUGGUACAAGAUGCUUGCUGUUUUAAUUUGUUACGUCGAAAGAGUAUGGACAUAACAAAUACUAGAACAUCACAAGACAAACAAAUUAUCUCAGGUGUUGUGAAAUAAUUUUAUUUGUAACUGUUUUACAUUCAUAUAUAAAUUGUAAUAACACAAGUUAGUAUGCCCAUGUUCUUUCAAUGUACCAAAUCAAAACAUCAAGCAAAAUGUACCACAGGAACUAUGUAUACAAGAUCAUGCCUUCUGGAUCAAGGGAUUAAUUUGAAUAUGUUAUACGGAACUUUUACCAAUUUCACUUUCGGGACAAGUAUGUAAGGAAAUUAGAAAAUGAGCUGAAACAUUAAACUCCUUGGACACUCCAUAGAAAGGAAGAAUUAUUUUCUGUUUAAUGCUGGCAUGUGAAGACAUUAGAACAUUUUCUUGUAGAUUAAAUUCUUUGGACAUUCAAUGAAAAUGAUUUAUUUUGUGAUUUUUUGUUAUAAUAGUGCUUUUUUUAUUUUACUUAGAAUUUUAUUUCAUUGCCAGUUAAUUGAUAGUAACUAAGAAAGUGAAAUAAUUUUUUUUUUUUUUUUUUGAGAAAUAAAGAGUAUUUUUUACAACCUUAUAUUUCAUGAUUGUCUAUCUUCAAAACUUACCAAACUUGGGUGAUUCAUAUGGAAAAAAUAAUGCUGUCAUUUAAAGGGAAGAAAAGUGUAAAGAUUUUUGCUGAACGUUCAUAAUAAAUAAUUUUACCUUUUGA
This is a long non-coding RNA of Bacillus rossius redtenbacheri, 4107 nucleotides long. RefSeq lists it as uncharacterized. The transcript has 2 exons. Lineage: Eukaryota; Metazoa; Arthropoda; Insecta; Phasmatodea; Bacillidae. The record is from RefSeq and is a predicted model, not a curated record.